AUAUUUAAUGGCCGCGGUAUUUUGACCGUGCAAAGGUAGCAUAAUCAUUAGUCUAUUAAUUGUGGACUUGUAUGAAUGGUUGGACGAAAUAUUGACUGUCUCAUUUUUAAUUUAUAUAACUUAAAUUUUGAGUUAAAAUGCUUAAAUUUUUUUAUAGGACGAGAAGACCCUAUAGAUUUUUAUUAUUUAUUUAAUUAUUUUAUUUAGUUUAUUUAUUUUUAAUUAUUUAUAUUUUUUUGUUGGGGUGACAUGGAGAUUUUAUUAACUCUUUAUUUUCUUUUACAUUUAUUUUUGUUUAUUUGACCUUUUAUUAUUGUUAUAAGAUAUAAAUACCUUAGGGAUAACAGCGUAAUUUUAUUUGAGAGUUCAUAUCGACAAUAGAGAUUGCGACCUCGAUGUUGGAUUAAGAUUAUAAUUUGGUGUAGAUGCUUUAUUAUUAAGUCUGUUCGACUUUUAAAUUCUUACAUGAUCUGAGU
RNAcentral lists this ribosomal RNA (476 nucleotides) under Phalces cf. brevis SB0433. RNAcentral describes it as "partial large subunit ribosomal RNA". The stretch from base 340 to 476 matches the Rfam family "Bacterial large subunit ribosomal RNA", at positions 2473 to 2610 of the family's 2925-position model. Lineage: Eukaryota; Metazoa; Arthropoda; Insecta; Phasmatodea; Bacillidae. The record is from RNAcentral.